Molecule: long non-coding RNA, 484 nt
Organism: Cebus imitator (Panamanian white-faced capuchin)
Lineage: Eukaryota; Metazoa; Chordata; Mammalia; Primates; Cebidae
Exons: 5
Source: RefSeq, a predicted model, not a curated record
AGAUGAUGAUGGUUCUCCAACUUCUAAGAGACCAAAGACCAACAAGCUACCACAGCCACCAGUUCCAGAGCCUGCUAAUGCUGGGCAACAGAAAGUGAGGAGUUCAACUUUGAUCAGAACUUGUAAUACAACCGAAGUUACUCGGCCAAGAACAAAUAAACAGUAACUCCAGCGGGCCUCCAUUGUCUCCAAGUCAACUUUCCUCCUCAUCUAUAACUCCUCCACACCAGCCCUGAACACCUGUUCACCUGGAUCUACCAUGAAAGACUUUAGAGUCCAGGAAGAGACUGACUGGGCAGCAGGUUAUUCAGGCAGGUGCCACAGUUAGCCCCAUUUUCUGAAUGAAGUGAUGAAGACUUGAUAAUGAGUGCUUCGCCCAAGCUCACAUGGAUACUAAGACUGAGUCAGAUGCAGGGCCUGGUGUGACUUUAAUGCCUGCUCUGUUCAUGAGCACCACGUAUUGCUUCUCCUAUGCAGUUAAGCA